Molecule: long non-coding RNA, 396 nt
Organism: Talpa occidentalis (Iberian mole)
Lineage: Eukaryota; Metazoa; Chordata; Mammalia; Eulipotyphla; Talpidae
Exons: 3
Source: RefSeq, a predicted model, not a curated record
UACUCACUGGAGUGAGAUCCUUGUCCAGUUUCGACAAUUCAGUCCUGCAGGGGUAGUCAACAGUUAUUUCUGGAUUAGUUACAUUUCUCUCUGCACUUUUAGAGGAUUCAUCUGAGCAAUAGAUUCAACUGUCACAUAGAUAUAUUCAGCAGAAUAUAUACCCAAGAGGUGAAAAUAAACUGCCCAGUCUCCUGAAUCAAAGCUGUGAGAAAGGAACAUGUCAAGAUAGCAAUGGAACAAGAUAAUGGGUGUAAAAUGACAAAAACCAGGAAACCUCUUACUGAAUGAGUCCAAGCAUUAUCACAAGGAAAAAAGAGUCUAUUGCGCAUAGAAAAGGCAACUAAAACUGGAGAAAAUAGUGUGCCAGAAAUACUUAAUUUGAAGAUACUAAAUGAA